RNAcentral lists this ribosomal RNA (253 nucleotides) under uncultured bacterium. Its description in RNAcentral is "partial 16S ribosomal RNA". It matches the Rfam family "Bacterial small subunit ribosomal RNA", at positions 524 to 776 of the family's 1533-position model. The record is from RNAcentral.
UACGUAGGGUGCGAGCGUUAAUCGGAAUUACUGGGCGUAAAGCGUGCGUAGACGGUUUUGUAAGUCGGAUGUGAAAUCCCCGGGCUCAACCUGGGAAUUGCAUUCGAGACUGCAAGGCUUGGGUGCGGAAGAGGGAAGCGGAAUUUCCGGUGUAGCGGUGAAAUGCGUAGAUAUCGGAAGGAACAUCAGUGGCGAAAGCGGCUUCCUGGUCCAGCACCGACGUUCAGGCACGAAAGCGUGGGGAGCAAACAGG